Molecule: RNA transcript, 8021 nt
Organism: Spodoptera frugiperda (fall armyworm)
Lineage: Eukaryota; Metazoa; Arthropoda; Insecta; Lepidoptera; Noctuidae
Gene: brp
Gene name: plectin
Exons: 21
Source: RefSeq, a predicted model, not a curated record
CGAGGCCGCUCGGCCUCGGCCGGCGCUCACCACCGCGCGCGUCCUCGUCCACUCCGCUACCAAUCGCUCGAGCGCGAGUAUGACCGCUCGUACGCUCCGCCGCCGCCCCCCGACGACGACUACUACCGCCGCGAGCAACCGCCCGGUAUGUUCCUGGGAGAGCUGCAAUCUCAGAAUUCCGAUCUGCACCGGGAGCUGGGGAACCUUAAGAAAGAACUGGAAUUGACCAAUCAGAAACUCGGCUCCAGCAUGCACAGCAUUAAGACCUUCUGGAGCCCUGAACUGAAGAAGGAGCGGGCGUUGAGGAAAGAGGAGAGCGCUAAGUACAGCCUUAUAAACGACCAACUAAAACUGCUCAACCAGGAGAACCAGAAACAAGCGAUGCUCGUACGACAACUGGAAGAAGAACUAAGACUGCGCAUGCGUCAGCCCGCUCCCGAAUUACAACAACAGCUGGAAGCCUUGUUUUCUGAAAAUGAACAUCUACAAAGAGAGAUAGCAAUAUUGAGAGAUACAAUAAAGGAACUAGAAUUGAGGAUCGAAACACAGAAACAAACACUCCAAGCCAGGGAUGAGAGCAUCAAAAAAUUACUUGAAAUGCUCCAAAACAAGGGGAUGGGUAAAGAAGAAGAGCGUCAAAUGUUCCAACAGAUGCAAGCGAUGGCGCAAAAACAGGAGCUCAAGGCGACGGCGGACACGCUGCGGGCGCUGCAGGUGCAGCUGGAGCGCGCGCUGGCCGCGGCCGGCCUGCCGGGCGGCAGCGCGGGCGCCACGCUCACGGCGGUGCUCGAGACCAAGGAAGCGCGCAUCGCCACGCUCGAGCGGCAGGUCGCGUUGCUCGAAGGCGAGCUGGCCGCGCUCGUGUCGCCGCCGCCGCCCUCGCUCGCGCCCUCGCACGCCUCGCUUUACGAUAAGGCCGACCCUCCCUUCAAGAGACAACUGGACGAGUUCCGGUUGGAGAUCCAGCGGCGAGAUCAGGAGAUCCUGGCGAUGGCCGCCAAGAUGAAGGCCUUGGAAGAGCAGCACCAGGACUACCAGCGGCACAUUGCCGUGCUAAAGGAAUCAUUGUGCGCCAAAGAAGAACAUUACAGUAUGCUGCAGACCGACACAAAGAACUACUACCAUGCACAGGUGGAAGAACUGAAAGCCCGGCUUGAUGAGAAGAGUAGGCUGGUGGAGAAGAAAACUGCGGCUGCACUGUCAGCCACACACGAACUCGCAGAGCUCAGAGACCACUCCGAGAUCAAGGACAGGAAGAUCAACGUGUUGCAGCGCAAGAUUGAAAAUCUGGAAGAUCUGCUUAAAGAAAAAGAUAAUCAAGUUGAUAUGGCGAGAGCCAGACUGAAUGCCAUGCAAGCCCACCACUGUUCUUCUGAAGGUGCUCUCUCAUCGCUCGAAGAAGUAAUCGGAGACAAAGAGAAACAAAUACAGCAGUUGAGAGAGCAGAGAGAUCGAGCUGAACACGAAAAGAACGAAGAAAGAGAACUGCACGAACGAGAAAUAGCCGAAUAUAAAAUGAAACUCCAUGCGCUUGAGAGCGAAGUAGAAAAACUUGGUGCUAGACUCGAAAGAGCUCAAGCCGAGAAAGAUCGACUUGAGGCUAAGUUAGAAAGCUCACAGUCUGAACUGGGUAAGUCUAAAGCAGAGCUGGACAAGGCUGCCAGCGAGGUUGGCAGGUCUGGCGCUGAUUGGGAGGCAGCUAAACAGCGCUUGGCAAGACUUGAGCUUGAGAAUGAAAGACUCAAACAUGAGCUGGAGCGGUCUCAGACAACGUUCGGCAGGAGCACUUUAACAACGUCACAGGAGUUGGACAGAGUGCAAGAGAAGGCUGAUAAGAGUGCAGCAGAGUUGCGACGAACUCUGGCGGAACUGAGAGUGACUCAGGCAGAUGCUGAGAGGGCUAGAUCUGAGGCCAGUGCGCUGCAGGACAAACUGGAGAAGUCACAGGGUGAAGUGUAUCGUCUGAAGGCUAAGCUUGAAAAUGCACAAACAGAACAGGAUAGCUUGAAGGAAGAAUACGAUCGGGUGCAAUCUUCGGUAAGUCGUCUCCAUUCUGAGCGAGAUAAGGCUGUGGCAGAGUUGGAUAAAGCUAGAGAGGAAUUAGAACGUACUCAGGCCACUCUGGGCAAGGCUCAGUUGCAACAGGACAAACUCCAAGCCUCGCUGGACGCCGCUCACUCUGAGAUCGAUAAGCUGCAAGAGAAAUUGGACAAAGCUGCUGCUGAAGUCAGAAAGUGUCAAGUGGACCGAGAGAAGCAGGCGUAUGACUUCGAGUCGCUGCAAUCACAGCUGGACAAGGCGCUGGGCAUGUCAGCUCGCUUCGGCAAGGAGAGAGACACGGCGCAGCUCGAGGCUGAUCGGUUCCGAGACAAGUAUGAGAAGUCACAGGCUCUAGUAACUCGUAUCCAGAAAGAACGUGAUGCAGCACUAGCAGAGGCUGCAAGCUGCCGCGAGAGAGCUGAAGCUGCAGCGGCUGCAGCCAACAGAGCAGCCAGGGACCGUGACAGCGCCACCACCGAGCUGGACGUCCUUAGAGAACGAUGGGAGAAGGCACACCAGCAGCACCAGAAACUCACGAUGGAACGAGACGAUGCCCUAACAGAGCUGGAAAUAUUGAAAGAAAAGCUAGACAAAGCCCUCUACUCCACACAAAAAACGAUCGAAGAAAAGGAAACCGCCCACAAAGAAUACGAGAAAAUGCUUGAGAAGUAUGACAGGUCCCAAAAUGAAAUCUACCGACUUCAGAACAAGAUAGAUAUACUCGAAGCAGACAAAGAUCGACUUGAAAUGGAGUUCGAAAAGCAUGCGCAUAUUGCGACGAAAGCAAGAGAAGAACAACGCAAGACACAAGAUGAACUCGCUAGAUUACAAGAAAUGUACGAUAGGGCGUCUCUUCAACUUGGUAGGACUAAAGAACAGGAAGAAAAAGCCAAGGAAGACAUGGAUAGGUUAAGUGUCGACAUUGAAAUGGUACGAGAUCGUUACGAAAAGAGCCAGAUCGAGCUUAGAAGGUAUCAGGCCGAGAAGGAGAAGUUAGUCGCAGACAACGAACGGCUUCAAUUCGAAUAUGACAGAGCAAUGACACAGUGUGGCAAGGCGCAGGCUUCUAACGAAAAAACACAGGAAGAAAUGGCUAGAGUGCAAGUAGAACUUGAGAAAAUGUAUGACAAGCAUGACAAAGUAGCGGCUGAACUGAGGAGAGUUCAAGCCGAACUGGAUAAGGUGAAGCAAGAUGCGAGCGGGGCCAGAGAAGAAGCUGAGAGAUACGCGGCACGAUAUGGGAAGUACCACGACACUAAGGAAGAACACGAGAGGACUAAGUUGGAGGUGGAACGACUGCGUGCGCGGUUAGAGAAGACCACAAUAGACCUGGAGCGAGCGCGCAAGGCUGAGGAGGAAGCAUCCCGUCUACGUUCGGAGCUCGAACGCCACGAAGCCGUCCGAGGUAAAUACCAAUUCGAACAGGACAAAUGGACUAAUGAACUAAACAGAGUGCAGGCGGAACUCGACAAGCAACACGAGCGCUACGAGGCAGCACAGGCAGAUAUUCAGCGCCUGCAGGCUGAGAAGGAGCAGGCAGAGACGAAACUACACGAGAUGAACAUACAGCUAGAGCUAUCCAAGAGCGAAGUGACCAAGUUGAACGCGGCAUUAGAAAAGCAACGAACAGAACUAGAACGUGCUCAUAUUGAGUGCGAGAAAUUCAGGGAUCGGUGUGAAAAACUUAAACUGCGAUCAGAACAGCUGGACAAAGAUAACGAACGGCUUAAAGGAGAACUGCAACAGAUUGAAAGGAUGAAACUGCAAGCGGUUGCAGGAGACAAAGCGAGGACCGAAGACAGGCUUGAAAUCGAGCGUCUUCGUGACAAGCUUGAAAAGGCAAUACAAGCAAGAGAUUCUACCGAAAUGGAAGCUGGCCGCUUAGCGAAGGAACUAGAGAAAUCUCAGAUGCAUCUUUCGAAGUACCAGGAGACCAACGAGUCGACGCGUGUCGAAUACGAAAGGAUGACGAAUGAACUUGGUAGAAUGCACGAACGUCUCGAGCGUACCAUCUUAGAGAUGAGACAUGUAGAACAGGAGAGAGAUGCAUUGUUACAAGAGAUACAUAAUAUGAGAUUCAACGUAGACCAACAACAGAGAACGCUGGAUCACCGCACACAGGAAACUUUAGUAAAACUACAGCAAGAACUCGCUCAAUCUGUUCGCGACAGAGAGAAGAUGGCUUCUAUAUUAGAACAGAGAGACAAACAGGCAGAUGCUAUAGAAAAACAGAUAGUAAAACUAGAAGCCGAUACAAAACAGCUUACAAUCGAGCGCGACCAAUUAGUAGCACAGCUAGAAAAAUCUCAAGACAUGCUUGUGAACUUCCAACGAGAAUUGAACGCAUCGGAGGCCGAGUUACAGAAGCAACGCGAGGAAGUGCGUAAAGUUAAAGAAGAACAACGAAAGAUGGCACAGGACUCUGGUGGCGCCAAGAGCGUGAUUGAAAGUCGCGACAGAGAGAUCGCUAAGCUGCAGCAGCAGGUGCAAGCUGUGUCUAAAGAAAAAGAGACGAUCAGACAGAGAGCUGAAAAGGCCGAGAAAGAAGCGCAGAAGGUCGGAGAGAUUGAGAAAUGGCGCGCCGCUGUGGAGCAGGAGAAGGCGAAGACGGCUGCAGCGGAGCGCGCGCUGGCGGAGUGCCAGUCGCGGCUGCAGCACUUGGAGAAGCAGGUGCAGGCGGGCGCUCGCGGCGGGGCCGACGCACUGGCCGCCGCGCAGGCCGACGCCCGCGCGCACCAGGUCGAGCGCGAGCGCUGCCAGGCGCAGCUCGAGAUGCUCGUCCAAGAAUUGGAGAAGAGCCAGCUCGAUCUACGAGAAGCGACGAAGAAGCUUCAAGCUGCGGGCGCGCAAAACGCCAAAGCUGGGGAAGACACAGCCCAAGCUAAGAAGCAACUGCAAGAGGAAUUUAAAAAGUUGGACGACGCGAGGAGACAGUUCGAGGAGCAGAGGAGGAUGGUGGAGAACAAACGGAAAGACGUGGAGGAGAAGGAGAAAGCGUUGGCGGAGUUAGAUCGACAGCUGAAGAAGAGAAAAGAGCAAAUGGACCAAAUGGAAGCAUCUUUGAGGAAGGCCGGCGGCAGCACAGCGGCGGCAUCAGAGCUGAACCGCAAGCUGUCAGAAUCGCAGAAGGACGCGGACGGGCUGAAGCAACAGCUGGAGCAGACUAAGGAGGAGGCUGCGCGCCUCACGGCGGAGACCGAGCGCCUGCUGCAACUCGUGCAGAUGUCGCAGGAGGAACAGGCGCAGAAAGAGAAGCAGAUCAUCGAACUGCAACAAUCUGUUAGAAAUCUUCAAGCCAAACUGAAAAGUCAGCAGCAAGCACAAGCACAAAGAGAAGAGGAACUGACGCGCGCGCGACAGAGCGAGCUAGCAGCCAUGAGAGAGCUGGAGAGCACUCUCACACAGAAAGACGUGCUCACAGCUAAGUUGGAAGAGAGCAAAAUGAAAGUGAUAGACUUAGAGAUAGAGCUGAACGAAUCAUCGCUUAUAUUAUCAGAAGUACUCAAAAUGCCAGACGGGCCAGAUAUGAAUAACAUUAAACGAAGUAAAAGCUUUUUCGAGUUGCAAAAGAGUGGUAAGGUAGUAGGUAGGCUAGACAAAGGUAGACUGAGCAGGAGCGACAACGAGCUAGACAUGAUGCACUGUAGAGACAAGAAGAGAGAGACACCGAACAUUAGUAAAUUGUCGAGGAAAAUAUCGGAGUUGACGAAAGAAAUGGCAAUAAAGAACUCAAAACUAAUAGAACAGCAAAGAUGUAUAUCAAUACUAGAGGAAGCACUGAGGGAGAAUAACAAUAUAGCCGAGUUUGAACAGUUGCUGGCAGUUGUACGAAGUAAAGAUGAGAGGAUCAAUGAGCUGGAACAGAUUGUGAACAAGAACAGCGUGUCGAACCCAAGCGAUGGCAAGGACAAGAGAAUAUUGGAACUAGAGGACGCUUUGAAGGAAUCAUUCUUGAUAGCAGCGGAGAGAGAGAAAAUAUUCUAUGAAGAAGAACAGAGAAGAAUUGAAACAUUACGGAGGAUGGGUAAGAUGGAGCAACGAAUCCGUUCCCUGCAGAACGCUUCAGCGAUGAAUUGCGAGACAUGUUCCUCAGUGCUAAAGCGCUUGAAGCGGCUGGAAGACUCACUGCAACACUGUCAGACCAACAGGGAACAUGUACUGCGGCAAUUGUCUCACGUCGUCCAAGACGUGCUAGAAGGUUUAAUCAGCGAGAAAGAUUCUCUAAUAGCCGAACUGGAGGUAAAGGGAGUACUCGACGAGAGUGAGACCGCACGAUGUGACACGCUUAAGACAGAGCGAGAUAGACUGCUCAAUAGGCUUAAGACGGAGAACGAGCGAAUACUGGAAUUGGAGCAGUGGACGGAGCCAGUGUCAGCAGCGCCCGAGGGCUCCCUGCCGGUAGACCUGACCCUGACGGACGAGCUGCUGCAAGCCUGUGACGACAAUGUAAUUGUUUGGGUAUAGUCUACAUCUAUUGAGAAUGCGGGUGGUACGCAUGGAGUGACGCCGGUUAACUUAUGGUUUCGACUUCACCUUGGUUAGUAUGCUAGCUAGGAUCAAUCUUGGUAGACUGUCCUGUCUUCAUACUUCUUCUUUCUUCUCCUGUGUAAGUAGCACUCUUAUAUCCUCUAUAUUGUUACCUUUAUCAGUUUUGUGCUGUUCUUCUACGUCUUUCUAGAGUUUUAUAUCUAGUCUUGUAAGUUCAGUCUCCAAAAUUGAUCUAGCUUCAAGCUUAACUAUACUUCUUCCAAUAAUUGUUUAACGUUUUCAAGAUUUCACUUUACAAACGCUUCGAAUAUUUCUGCUUGGAGUUCCUAUUAAACUCAGGUGUGAAAAACGCUUAAAGACUAAUAUAAAAUGCCCACCAAAAAUGGUGACCACACGCAGCUAAAAUCCGUUUUUACAAAACAAAACUUCGAAUUUCGCAGAGCCAAAAAUUUGAGAAACAACUAAUUGGAAUUUAAAAUUGAGAAUUUUAAUGAAAUAUAAAAUUUGCUCAAUUUAUUAAAAAGUUAUGCGAGUGUGUUUGCGUGUGUGCUUUAAUUAAACAAGUCGUGUUGAUAACAUGAGAAGGAUUGGGAAUGAUAUGACAUUGAGCUGGUCAAUACUGGAGGUGGUAAAGUGGAUAGAAGACAUAUAAGGACUAGAAACGUAUGCAAUUACUAGAAUGUUAAUACAAACUUAGGGAGGAACUGUAAGGUUACUAGAUGAACUUAGAGCAGCUAUAAAAUGCCUAAUAUUUUAAUGUAAGUAUGUCGUCUUAGAUAAGGAAGUGGUUAUAGUCAAAUUAUACGUUAUAAGUUGUGUAAUAAGAUUUAAAAUUGAAUGCAGUUACAAUUAGCGAUGGAAAUUAAGAACAGAAUGUUGAUGCUAAUCAGAAUGGUAUCUUUUUUAAAAUAAACUUUGAUCUAAGACUAUAAAAUAUGGAACAGUUUGACAAAUACCAUUUGCAGUGUUAAUGGCAAAACAUCCAACUUAAAACUUUAAGUUAAAAAAUAAACACGAUCGAUGGAUAGAUAAAGUAAAUGAGUAACUACGAGUGUAAAGGAUUCGAAAUUCUAUGUAAGAGGCAAUAGAGUAAAGUUUGCAAUGAUUAGCAUAACAUGAACUGUUCUAGUACUUUCCGUAGCUAAUUGUAACGUCGAAGGAGCACCAGCUAAUGUUUUACUAAUGACCACAGGAGGAGGACAUCCCAGCAACUGUACUGUAACUCCAAACGCAGCUAAGUCAAAACGUAACUCUGUUUGUGGCCUUAGCCAUCAUCACCGCACUAGUCACCCAUCACUGCUACCUUACCGACUCAUUCUCGCUUAUCACUCAAGCAUCUAAUGCCAAAUACUUAUGAUAUUUCGACAAAAUAACGUAACGCCAGCUUGCAACGACUUCCGUCAAAGAACUAAAACUAAAACCGAAUUUUUAUACCAAAGAAUGUCAAUUUUUUAUGUAAAUAAAGUUUAAGUUUUACUUUUUAUUUGUUACUA